Cavia porcellus (domestic guinea pig) is the source of this 2547-nucleotide long non-coding RNA. RefSeq lists it as uncharacterized. The record is from RefSeq and is a predicted model, not a curated record. The transcript has 4 exons. NCBI's taxonomy places the organism in Eukaryota, Metazoa, Chordata, Mammalia, Rodentia, Caviidae.
CAAAACAGUCAAAUUUCAGUAGAAUAUAAACAAAAUCAACUACUUUCAAGAGGAAUGAUUUGUAAUCUGUAAUAGAAUCAAUAGUUUGCCUAAUUUUUAUCAUAUCUUAACUGCUAUUAAGAAAUAAUCUUGCUUCACAGGAGAUUUUAGGAGCUUGUGUUUGUUAAAAAAAGGUGCAGCUGCUCACAUUUUUAUAUUAGUUAUCUUAAAUAGUUUAAAUUGGUAUUGUUUUAAAUAUUAGGCCAUUUUGAUAUUUAUAUAUUUGUAACUCUUUGCUAAGUUGGGUUUUAAGAUAUGUUCAGAUUGUAAAGGUCUUUGACAUUAUAAAUUACAUAAGUAAUCAUUUGAACCUGACUUGAUUUUUCUUGGCUAUUGUGACUAGAUAUGCUAAGAGCUAUGUCAUUUUAUUUUCUGUAAAGAUAUACUGGUGAUAUAAAUAUCUGAGGUCAUGCGUAUUUUUAAAUCACCAUUAAAAAUCUUGAUUACUCAGAAGUUUAAAACGAAAGAACAGUUUAUCACCCCACCUGUUUUUUUUUUUUUUUUUUUUUUUUUUUUUUUAGGUGAUGGAUGCGGACAAACUGUACUAGGCCCUGAAAGUGGAACUCUUGCAUCUAUAAACUACCUGCAGACCUAUCCCAACAGUACCAUUUGCAAAUAGGAGAUCCGUGUCAAGAAGGGAGAAUGAAUCCGGGUCAAAUUGGGUGAUGUUGACAAUGAAGAUUCUGAUUCUUGUCAUUUUAAUUACUUGAGAAUUAUAAUGGAAUUGGACUUGGCAGAACAGAAAUGGGUUUAAUGGACUAGAAUGUCAUCUGUUUUUGAAAAAGUUCCCUAGACUGCGGAGAAGAAUGUCUGCUUUGUUGUUCAGUAGAACUCUUUGAAGUGCAAGAAUGAAUGCUCAACAAGAAUGUGUGGCUGUCUUUUACAAAGCUGAAGUCUACUCAGAAUUCACUGAUUAUUUUUAUGAGGGAAAAGUGAUUCUCUGUAAUCUGCAUGAACUAAUCUUCAUUAAUGCAUUUGAUAUUCCCCAAACAGGAAUUAAAUCACAAGGAACAUUUAAUCUAAACAGCACUGUUACUUUUUGUCACCUUUUACUGUCUAACUGUCCUGGCAGCCAGGCAUGGUGAUAAAUAUCUGGAAUCCCAGCAUGCGAGGGGCUGAAGCAGAAGGAUCACCAUGAGUUCAAGACCAGCCUGCACUAAAUAGCAAGACCCUGUUUCAAACAAUCUUUGCCCUCAAGAAAAUAAUUGUCUUGGUAAAGAUUUUCAGGGAAGUGGUCUUUCUUUCCUUAUAUAAGAUCUUUAAGAAAAGUUCUUAGAUUUUCCCUGUUCAUCAUAUUGACUGUAAGCCUUUAAUACAUAAUCUUUAUUCUGAUCAUGCAAACUACUUCAAUAACUAUUGUCUUUAGAGAUUUAAUUAUUAAUGAAUGUUCAAUUUUGUCAAAUACCUUACUGCAUCAACUGAAAUCAUUACAUAAUUUCUUUGUUUGGAGGGAUUUUGUGAUGUAUCAUUGUGUUCCCAUACUGUCACUGUGACAAAAUUCUUAAGAAAACCAACAACAAAAGGAAUACUUAUUUGGAAUCAAUAUUUCAGUUUACAGUCCAAUUGCUAUUGAUCAUUUGCUUUGAUAUUGUAGAAAUAAGAGGUUUGAUACUGUAGAAAUAAGCAAGCAAAGAGACUGGAAAAAAUUUGAGUCUCAGUAUUUUUUUGUGGGUGUAUCUCUGGGAGUUCAAGGGCAGCCUGAACUGCAUAGCAAGAUCUUGUCUCAAGAAAAAAAAAAGAUACAAAUAUAUUGUCAUGCAUACUUUUCUAUGAAUAUAAAAUGUUAAUUAGUUGUUAGCACUAGUUUUCUAAUGUAGUUGAUGGUGUAGCAAGAAAAUAAUUUAGGCAUAAACAAUACAAAGCCUCUUUAAAAUUCAUACAUUUAGCUAUUCAAGGUUAAGAGACUUUAACAUUGUAUAAUUCUUUUUCAUACAUUUUGUACCUGAUGUGUGUUGUAUUAUUUAACAUUUUGUAAACUUAAUUAUUUAAAGAAAAUGUUUCAUUUUUAUUUUUCUGAUAGUAGGAGUAAUCUAAAUAUUUUUGUCUUGUAGAGCAUUUUGAUAACACAUAUAUGUACAUAUUCAUGAAUCUUAGAAAAAUAAGAACCAGUAUAUUCACAGGAAAGGCCUUAUUCUUUAUACUAAGUUUGGGUUAGGAUAUUUAAUAUGCUCAAAUUUAUAAAAUCUUUUUCUAAAUUUUAUAAAUUACUUUCAUAAACAAGCAAACCCGAAAGUUUGAUCACACCAUGUGAUCACGUGUGAGUGGAGUUUAUAUUUGAUUGAACAGUGGAUAUUCUUUUUCUUCUCACCAGGUUAAUGCACUGAAGAUACUUACAAUUACCUGACAGAACUCUGUAGUGUUCAUUUCCCUGUCACUGAUAAACUGCUGAUGAUCAUUCAUUUUAGACCCAUUGGCAAAUGGCAGCCCAAUACUCAGAUAACUUUACUGUCUUUCAUCUGACACUUUUUAUAAUGUUUAUUGUUUUGACUAUUAAAAGGAUUCUUCAAA